Molecule: unclassified non-coding RNA, 200 nt
Filed under: Ramaria sp.
Lineage: Eukaryota; Fungi; Basidiomycota; Agaricomycetes; Gomphales; Gomphaceae
Description: partial internal transcribed spacer 2
Source: RNAcentral
UUAAGUUCAGCGGGUAGUCCUACCUGAUUUGAGGUCAGACGACAUGAAAUUGUCCGAAGACGAUUAGAAGCAUCCUUACACGCGAGACGCGGAACGGCGCCAGAAGUAGACUUAUCACACCGUUGUGACCGAUCUCGCGACGGAACGCUAGAUCGACAUUUCAAGACGAGCAGACCUUGUAAAGGACUGCAACAUCCAAA